UGAAGCACCAUCAAACAAGUGGUUACCACAUAAAUGCUUAUCUGAUGUGGAAAGAAUUGAAAUCCCGCUUAUGCCUAGUCGUCAUGAGCAAGAGGAAGCAAGAGGGUUGCAGAGACAUUCGGCAAUUUUUUGCCUCGUCUCAGAAAAGAAGCAAAUCGGACCUUGAUGCUGUGACAACGGACAAGUCUUCUUCCUCUGUCCUUUUCCCCUGCAUCUGUUCAGUAUGUUCAGUGUUCUUAAAUCAUUUUAUUAGUUACUGUUCUUAUUGUGUUCUUGUUAGUGUGAUGUUUGAAUAAACUUGCCUGUUGCAAUGUUGGUAUAAUGUUUGUAUAAUUACUGUUAUACAACUGUUACUGUUUCAAUGUGACCC
This is a long non-coding RNA of Gadus morhua (Atlantic cod), 370 nucleotides long. The record is from Ensembl. Lineage: Eukaryota; Metazoa; Chordata; Actinopteri; Gadiformes; Gadidae.